Long non-coding RNA from Oncorhynchus keta (chum salmon), 663 nucleotides. RefSeq lists it as uncharacterized. The transcript is spliced from 3 exons. The record is from RefSeq and is a predicted model, not a curated record. Lineage: Eukaryota; Metazoa; Chordata; Actinopteri; Salmoniformes; Salmonidae.
CUACUACACCUGCUGUAUUCAGCAUUUCACUGUGAGGUCUACUACACCCGUUGUAUUCAGCAUUUCACUGUGAGGUCUACUACACCUGUUGUAUUCAGCAUUUCACUGUAAGGUCUACUACACCUGUUGUAUUCAGCAUUUCACUGUGAGGUCUACUACACCUGUUGUAUUCAGCAUUUCACUGUGAGGUCUACUACACCUGUUGUAUUCAGCAUUUCACUGUGAGGUCUACUACACCUGUUGUAUUCAGCAUUUCACUGUAAGGUCUACUACACCUGUUGUAUUCAGCAUUUCACUGUGAGGUCUACUACACCUGUUGUAUUCAGCAUUUCACUGUGAGGUCUACUACACCUGUUGUAUUCAGCAUUUCACUGUGAGGUCUACUACACCUGUUGUAUUCAGCAUUUCACUGUGAGGUCUACUACACCUGUUGUAUUCAGCAUUUCACUGUGAGGUCUACUACACCUGUUGUAUUCAGCAUUUCACUGUGAGGUCUACUACACCUGUUGUAUUCAGCAUUUCACUGUGAGGUCUACUACACCUGUUGUAUUCAGCAUUUCACUGUGAGGUCUACUACACCUGUUGUAUUCAGCAUUUCACUGUGAGGUCUACUACACCUGUUGUAUUCAGCAUUUCACUGUGAGGUCUACUACACCUGUUGUA